This 361-nucleotide ribosomal RNA is filed under the name Serratia symbiotica. RNAcentral describes it as "partial 23S ribosomal RNA". It matches the Rfam family "Bacterial large subunit ribosomal RNA", at positions 1 to 396 of the family's 2925-position model. The record is from RNAcentral. Lineage: Bacteria; Pseudomonadati; Pseudomonadota; Gammaproteobacteria; Enterobacterales; Yersiniaceae.
AGUUAAGUAAUGAAGCGUACAGGGCGGAUGCCUAGGCAGUCAGAGGCGAAGAAGGGCGUGCAAAUCUGCGAAAAGCGACGGCGAGCUGAUAGGAAGCGUGAUUAGCCGUUGAUACCCGAAUGGGGAAACCCGGUGCAAGCAGUUGCACUAUCGUUAGAUGAAUAAACUAGUUUAACGAGGCGAACCGGGAGAAGUGAAACAUCUAAGUACCCCGAGGAAAAGAAAUCAACCGAGAUUUCCCGAGUAGCGGCGAGCGAAAGGGAAGCAGCCCAGAGCGUGCAUCGCUAUUGAUAUCAGAGGAAAGGUCUGGACCGACCUGCUAAAGAGGGUGAGAGCCCCGUACUCGAAGAUAGCAGUAGUG